Molecule: unclassified non-coding RNA, 1000 nt
Filed under: Hevea brasiliensis (rubber tree)
Lineage: Eukaryota; Viridiplantae; Streptophyta; Magnoliopsida; Malpighiales; Euphorbiaceae
Source: RNAcentral
AGGGAACACAAAAAUGGGAAGGUUGGAAUUUCUUUUGGAACUUUUGAGCCACUGCUACUUUUUGAUGGUUUAUAUACAAUUUUUACUUUAUUAAUAAAAACAUGAAUGAAUUUAAAGGAUUGGUUUCAUAAUAUUGUCAAAUAUGAUUUUUUUUUUCUUUUAAUGUGAGAAUUUACAUUAUACACAUGAUUAUAUUUGGUUACAAAUGCUAAUUGAUUUGCACAGUUUCAUUCUCAAAAGGUUGAUUUGUCUGUUUUACUGACUGUGGAUAUGAUUAUUUGUGUCUUUUGUGAGAAUAUAUCCUUAGACACAAUUUUUUUCAGGCAAUUAUUGCUUUAUAUGGUGCUCAUAUUGUCUUCUUGGUUUUGGAACACCUGUAACAUGAACAGGGUUUAUCAUAAACCUCAGUUGAGGUAGUAAGUUGAUAUGUUAGAAUCACUACAAUUGUUUCUUAUUUGGAGUUUACCCUUCCCAUUAGAAUAGUUAUAAGGUUUUGUAAACUGUGAAGGUCCUUGAUAACUUCUGGAUGUUCCGCACCUAAAGACAACGAUAGCCUUAAUCAAAGGAAAAAUUUAGAGAGAAUUCCUAGGUCUUGCUAGGGUCCACUCCGGUGAUAAAGUCAGAGACGAGAUUUGAUAUAUUAAAAGUAAUCAGACCAGAUUCAAUUAAUUCACAUACCUGGUGAGAGUAUUAUUUAUAUUUGAAACCUCCCAAUCGAGAUUGGAUUUUACGUAAGAAAUGUAGUCCCACUCCUAAUAAAUCUCUUAUUGUUAUAGUGGAAUCACAAUUUUAACUUGGAUCAGAUGUUGCUCACUAUCAUAAGACAACUGCAGCAGACUUCCAAUGGUCAAUGGACUCCUGGCCUACCAUCACGGCUAAAUAAAUAAUAGACUUUUGGUACCGAGUGUCUCUAUUUGGUAACUGAGCAAACGGGGUGGCCUGCUAUCAGUUUUAUUGUCUUUUAUUGGCCAUUCAUUUGGCACUGCUCUCUGUUUGAAAA